GAUGAACGCUAGCGACAGGCCUAACACAUGCAAGUCGAGGGGCAUCACAUGCGUAGCAAUACAAUGGUGGCGACCGGCGCACGGGUGAGUAACACGUAUGCAACCUACCUGUAAGAGGGGAAUAACCCGGAGAAAUUCGGACUAAUACCGCAUAAUACUGAUUAUCUGCAUGGAUUGAUCAGUUAAACAUUUAUGGCUUACAGAUGGGCAUGCGUAUGAUUAGAUAGUUGGUAGGGUAACGGCCUACCAAGUCAACGAUCAUUAGGGGUUCUGAGAGGAAGGUCCCCCACACUGGUACUGAGACACGGACCAGACUCCUACGGGAGGCAGCAGUGAGGAAUAUUGGUCAAUGGGCGAGAGCCUGAACCAGCCAAGUCGCGUGAAGGAAGAAGGUUCUAUGGAUUGUAAACUUCUUUUGUAAGGGAAUAAAAAGAGUUACGUGUAACUUAUUGUAUGUACUUUACGAAUAAGGAUCGGCUAACUCCGUGCCAGCAGCCG
Molecule: ribosomal RNA, 498 nt
Filed under: uncultured bacterium
Lineage: Bacteria
Description: bacterial SSU rRNA
Rfam family: Bacterial small subunit ribosomal RNA
Source: RNAcentral